RNAcentral lists this ribosomal RNA (238 nucleotides) under uncultured bacterium. Its description in RNAcentral is "partial 16S ribosomal RNA". It matches the Rfam family "Bacterial small subunit ribosomal RNA", at positions 96 to 334 of the family's 1533-position model. The record is from RNAcentral.
CGGCGGACGGGUGAGUAACGCGUGGGUAACCUACCCUGUACACACGGAUAACAUACCGAAAGGUAUGCUAAUACGGGAUAAUAUAUUUGAGAGGCAUCUCUUGAAUAUCAAAGGUAAGCCAGUACAGGAUGGACCCGCGUCUGAUUAGCUAGUUGGUAAGGUAACGGCUUACCAAGGCGACGAUCAGUAGCCGACCUGAGAGGGUGAUCGGCCACAUUGGAACUGAGACACGGUCCAA